This is a transfer RNA of Ovis aries (sheep), 72 nucleotides long. It matches the Rfam family "tRNA". Rfam says of the family: Transfer RNA (tRNA) molecules are approximately 80 nucleotides in length. Their secondary structure includes four short double-helical elements and three loops (D, anti-codon, and T loops). Further hydrogen bonds mediate the characteristic L-shaped molecular structure. tRNAs have two regions of fundamental functional importance: the anti-codon, which is responsible for specific mRNA codon recognition, and the 3' end, to which the tRNAs corresponding amino acid is attached (by aminoacyl-tRNA synthetases). tRNAs cope with the degeneracy of the genetic code in two manners: having more than one tRNA (with a specific anti-codon) for a particular amino acid; and 'wobble' base-pairing, i.e. permitting non-standard base-pairing at the 3rd anti-codon position. Lineage: Eukaryota; Metazoa; Chordata; Mammalia; Artiodactyla; Bovidae. The record is from Rfam.
UCCCUGGUGGCUCAGAUGGUAAAGCAUCUGUCUACCAUGCAGGAGACCUGGGUUCAAUCCCUGGGUCGGGAA